GAUCAACCAUUGUGACUUUCCCUACAAUGAUGCAAACACAUAAGGUCAAAAAACAAAAUAUAUUCAACAGCAACGCAAUUAUGAAACCUAUGUUUUAUGUCCACACACACACACACAACAUCAACAGAUACAGGGAUGAGAAGAGUCUGUAUAAAGGAAAUCAAAUUAUUCUAGUGUUUAGCUAGGCUAGGGUAUCACAAAUAACAAUCACUACUAAAAUGCAUCCAUUCCUCUUUAUGUUUUAUACACUGAAACGAAAAACAAAGAACACACAGAGAACACAUCUCUGCAGAAAAUAAUAGCCCAGAGCUUAAAAGGAGAGUAGUUGCCAUAAUCUUCAUAGAAGUGAAUUAAAUAAACAUCAACCUCAUCUAAACCUGCUGUUCUUUUCAUAGAAAAGCUAAUUUUGCAAGUCAUUUCCUAUAAACAAUACUUCCAACCACCACUCACAA
RNAcentral lists this unclassified non-coding RNA (452 nucleotides) under Hevea brasiliensis (rubber tree). The record is from RNAcentral. Lineage: Eukaryota; Viridiplantae; Streptophyta; Magnoliopsida; Malpighiales; Euphorbiaceae.